This 248-nucleotide ribosomal RNA is filed under the name uncultured bacterium. RNAcentral's name for it is "partial 16S ribosomal RNA". It matches the Rfam family "Bacterial small subunit ribosomal RNA", at positions 793 to 1050 of the family's 1533-position model. The record is from RNAcentral.
GUCCACGCCGUAAACGAUGGACACUAGUUGUUGGAAUUAUUCAGUGACUAAGCGAAAGUGAUAAGUGUCCCACCUGGGGAGUACGAUCGCAAGAUUGAAACUCAAAGGAAUUGACGGGGGCCCGCACAAGCGGUGGAGCAUGUGGUUUAAUUCGAUGAUACGCGAGGAACCUUACCAGGGCUUAAAUGUAGUGGGACAGGUCUAGAGAUAGAUCCUUCUUCGGACUCAUUACAAGGUGCUGCAUGGUU